Unclassified non-coding RNA from Panthera pardus (leopard), 329 nucleotides. Its record names the gene 7SK. It matches the Rfam family "7SK RNA". From Rfam's summary of the family: 7SK was discovered as an abundant small nuclear RNA in the mid-70s but a possible function has only recently been suggested. Two independent studies have found that 7SK RNA binds the CDK9/cyclin T complex (known as elongation factor P-TEFb). The record is from Ensembl. Lineage: Eukaryota; Metazoa; Chordata; Mammalia; Carnivora; Felidae.
UGAUAUGUGGGUGAUCUGGCUGCGACAUCUGUCACCCCACUGAUCACCAGGAUUGAUUGGGUUGAUCUGGCUGGCUAGGUGGUGUCACCUGUCUCCCUCAAUGCUCCAUGUACCUCCCUCCUAGAGCUGUGGGCCCAGCAGAAAAGGGCGACCUUUCCCCACAAAGGAGGGCCAUUCUUCAGUCAAGGGUAUACAAGUAGCUGUGCUCCCUGCCAGAACCUCCAAACAAGUUCUGAAGGUCUGUUUGUAGGAGACUGUAGGGUAGUCAAGCUUCCAAGACUCCAGCCACAUCCAAAUGGGGCAGUGAACAUGGCAGUCUGCUUUUCCUU